RNAcentral lists this long non-coding RNA (1116 nucleotides) under Betta splendens (Siamese fighting fish). RNAcentral's name for it is "lncRNA (ENSBSLG00000003892.1)". Lineage: Eukaryota; Metazoa; Chordata; Actinopteri; Anabantiformes; Osphronemidae. The record is from RNAcentral.
AUGUGCUAUUGUUGGUCUCAGAGAGGCAUCUGGCCCGGUUUCAACGGUAACGGCAGCGCUAGCCUCGGCUCGCUCAUUCCUCGCCUCAAGACUCCUUUGUUCUGCUUGAUAUCUCCGAGCCCCGCACCGCACCGCACCGCAGCGCAGCGCCCCGCGAGCUCGACGUGGAAGUGGGCGCGCGCGGAGAGCGCCGUUACUUUCCCGUCCCCGGUGCGUCUUCGCCGCGUGCAGCGCGAAGGCCAGGAGAGGAGUGGAGAUGAGAGGAGAGGAGAGGAGAGGAGGCGAGGCGGCGGCGGGGGGAUGUGGUUUGCUCGUGGCUUCGGAGACGGACACACCACCAGCACAUUGAAUGCAGCCGCAGCCUCUUUUGUCUCGCUCGCUGGCCUGCACUCUUUUCACACAACACUCCCAGUCCCUCACCCCCUCCUCAAUGGGACAUAACAUGAGUAGCUGCCUUCGAGGAGGGACAAGACCUAAAUACGUGCUUUACUAACACCCCCGUCUUUCGAUUGCUUUCACGAAAAUUAAUAGAACUGUGUCUCUUGCGGAUAAAACUGUUUCAACACGUCUAAGUCAUAAAUACGAGCUUUCACACGACGCUGCUGCUAUUUGGUGUCUCCUUUUAACGUCGCUUUCCUAUUAGCUACAUCCGCAUAUAAAUAAUGAUGUAACAAAACACCCGCGAACACAAUUAGUCAUAUUUAGACUUGUAUUUUUUAAAAAGGUGCAAAAACUGAGGUAGAAAUUCAGAAGAAUAGUUCAGUGAUUGAAUGAAAUUUCCACGUGGGGCUCGGCCUGGGCACGGUAAACACUCGGAGGAUAAACCAAUAGGACGUAAGAACACCCACGUGGGGUAAGCUGACCGGCUGCCGAUUGGAGGCUGCGGCUAGCAAAAUACCCCGCACGUCAAUCAAGCAGGCUACAACUACUCAGCGAAGUUAACCCUUUCCUGGGUACGAGGAGGGGAUUGAGAAUGUCAGCAGUUGUGUGUGUGGUUGUAUCAAGAUUCAGUGGUUUUCCCUUUUCUCCCCACAAACUGUCAGUGCGCCCAAAAGUCUUACAUUUCCCCCUAUUUGGUCCUUGUUGAUGUGCAAAUAAAUAGACUUUGCUCUAACA